Molecule: long non-coding RNA, 1392 nt
Filed under: Accipiter nisus (Eurasian sparrowhawk)
Lineage: Eukaryota; Metazoa; Chordata; Aves; Accipitriformes; Accipitridae
Description: lncRNA (ENSANIG00000010575.1)
Source: RNAcentral
AUGCCCGCCCCCACCCCCUGCAAGCUCCACCCUCACCCACCAUCCCCCCCCCCCCCCCCCCCCCCCCCCCCCCCGUGCCCCCCGUGCCGGUACCUGCUGGCGGUACCCCUCCUGCAGCGGCCCCUCGCUCAGCUCCCGGCUGAGGCUCUCGGGGGGGCCGAGGGGGCGGGCGCCGGCGGCGCGGGCGGCGCGACCCACGGCUUCGGCCAGCAGCAAGGGGGGGCCCUCGGCCUGCAUGGUCUGGGUGGGGGGGAGGAAGGAGGCGGUCAGCGGGGUGGGGCUGGGGCGGGGCGGGGCGGGGACGGGGCGCGGCCCCACCUUGCGGCGCUUGGCGGGCAUGCCGGUCAGGUAGGCAUCGCUGAGGGGCGGCUGCUGCUUCACCUUGCGCUGGGUCUGGAUGUCCUCGCGGAUGAUGGGCACCCACUCCUGGGGGGGAGAGGGGUGGGUCGGGCCGCUCAGCACCCCACACCCCCUCACAUCCCACCCCGACACCCCCCGUCCCUCCACUCACCGGGGGCACGGCGGCUGCCCAGGGCUCGCUCUCGGGGGGCAGGGCCUCCUCCGCCGUGGUGGCGGGGGCCGGGGAACCGGCGCCGUCCCGCUGGGGGGGGGACGGAGGGAAGGGGGGGGGGGUCAGGGAGAGGGGCCGGGGUAGGCCACGCCUCCCCCAAGCUCCACCCCUGCCGGCAAGUCUGCCCCCGCCCCAAGUCCCGUCUACCUGCGCUUCCUCCGGGGGCGGCUCCGCCUCCUGCAUGUCCAUUGGCUCCUCGGGCAGCGGCUGGGGACGGGGGAGUGGUCAGCGGGAGGAGGGGCCCGGGAGGGUGGGGGGUUACAGGAGGGCGUGGCAUUACCCACUGGGGUGUGGUUGGCAGGGUUUUCUGCACAGGGGGCGUGGUUACCCGGGGGAGGGGGCAGAGCUGUCUGGAGGUGGGGUUUCUGCCGGGGGGGGCGAGGUUUUUUCAUUAGCAGUUGGGGUUUGCUGGCAGGGGGCGGGGUUACAUGGGGAGGCGGGGCUUCUGGGGCGGGGUUACAUGGGGAGGCGGGGCUUCUGAGGCAGGGUUACCUGGGGAGGCGGGGCUUUAUGGGCGGGGUUACCUGGGGAGGCGGGGCUUCUGGGGCGGGGUUACCCGGGGAGGCGGGGCUCCAGGUCGGGGGCGGGGUUACCUGGCGGGAGGCGGGCUCCCCGAGGCGGCGCACGUAGGGCAGGACCUGCUCCGGGGUGACGGGCAUCUGCUCCAGCACCGCCUGCAGCCGCAUCCCCACCACGGCCGUCAGCCAGCUCACCAGCGACGGGGAGACGUCCGCCGACAGCCGCCGCUGCGGGCACAGCGCACGUCGUGGGGGGGGGGGGGGCGACGGCAACGGGGGGGCGGGACCCGGGGGGGGGGGCCC